This 443-nucleotide ribosomal RNA is filed under the name uncultured bacterium. RNAcentral's name for it is "partial 16S ribosomal RNA". It matches the Rfam family "Bacterial small subunit ribosomal RNA", at positions 338 to 795 of the family's 1533-position model. The record is from RNAcentral.
CCUACGGGUGGCAGCAGUGGGGAAUAUUGGUCAAUGGAGGAAACUCUGACCCAGCAACGCCGCGUGAAUGAUGAAGGUCUUCGGAUUGUAAAGUUCUUUUCUAAGGGAAGAAGAAAGUGACGGUACCUUAGGAAUAAGCCUCGGCUAACUACGUGCCAGCAGCCGCGGUAAUACGUAGGAGGCGAGCGUUAUCCGGAUUGACUGGGCGUAAAGGGUGCGUAGGUGGUUUGACAAGUUGGUAGCGUAACCCCGAGGCUCAACCUCGGCCCUACUACCAAAACUGUCGGACUUGAGUGCAGGAGGGGCAAUUGGAAUUCCUAGUGUAGCGGUGGAAUGCGCAGAUAUUAGGAGGAACACCAGUGGCGAAGGCGAAUGGCUGGACGGUAACUGACACUGAGGCACGAAAGCGUGGGGAGCAAACAGGAUUAGAUACCCCUGUAGUC